Pseudophryne corroboree (corroboree frog) is the source of this 132-nucleotide small nucleolar RNA. RefSeq annotates it as small nucleolar RNA SNORA3/SNORA45 family. The transcript has a single exon. NCBI's taxonomy places the organism in Eukaryota, Metazoa, Chordata, Amphibia, Anura, Myobatrachidae. The record is from RefSeq and is a predicted model, not a curated record.
CCCGAGACUAGAGUCACAUCUCUGCUCUGCUAGUGACCUUGGUGUGCUAGAGUCCUCGGAGAGUAACCACUGUACUUUAUUCACUGGCGGGUUCUUAAUGUAGCUCAGCCAGUCACCGGUUCAGUGACACCU